UGGGGAAUUUUGCGCAAUGGGCGAGAGCCUGACGCAGCAACGCCGCGUGGAGGAUGAAGGUCUUUGGAUUGUAAACUCCUGUCAGCGGGGAAAAAGGGACCGUGGUUAAUACCCAUGGAACUUGAUUGUACCCGCAGAGGAAGCCCCGGCUAACUCUGUGCCAGCAGCCGCGGUAAUACAGAGGGGGCAAGCGUUAUUCGGAAUUAUUGGGCGUAAAGGGCGCGUAGGCGGCCAUUCAAGUGACGGGUGAAAGCCCUCGGCUUAACCGAGGAACUGCCUGUCAGACUGGAUGGCUUGAGACCGGGAGAGGUGAGUGGAAUUCCCAGUGUAGCGGUGAAAUGCGUAGAUAUUGGGAGGAACACCAGUGGCGAAGGCGGCUCACUGGACCGGAACUGACGCUGAGGCGCGAAAGCGUGGGGAGCAAACAG
RNAcentral lists this ribosomal RNA (428 nucleotides) under uncultured bacterium. Its description in RNAcentral is "bacterial SSU rRNA". It matches the Rfam family "Bacterial small subunit ribosomal RNA", at positions 355 to 775 of the family's 1533-position model. The record is from RNAcentral.